Macrobrachium nipponense is the source of this 2842-nucleotide long non-coding RNA. RefSeq lists it as uncharacterized. The transcript has 5 exons. The record is from RefSeq and is a predicted model, not a curated record. Lineage: Eukaryota; Metazoa; Arthropoda; Malacostraca; Decapoda; Palaemonidae.
CUCGGUUUCGGAGUGUGUGUUUUCUACAAAUGAUUGCACAUUAUGAAAAGCAGCUAGAGCAUCCUUAAUUUCUGCCGUUGUCAUAGGGUCAUAAUCCUCCUCCUCGCCACUGCUAGAGAACUCUUCUUGAACAAUGUUAUGUUGCAUGGCCUCCAACUCCUUCAGGUCAUCCGUCGUAAGCUCCUGUUGGUGCGCCUCGAGAAGGGAAUUGAUGUCGUCCUCGUCGACGACCAGCCCCAUGGACUUGCCGAGUGCAACAAUCUUGUCAAGAUCUGGUUGCGAAACAGUUUCAGGAUCGUCAACUGUUCCUGAAUCUGCAGCACCAGCUUCACCCAUGUCGAAUCCCUCGAAGUUAGGGCGGCUACGGCAUCAGGCCAGAGUUUCCUCCACGAAGAAUUCAAGGUUCGCCUCGAAACCUCCCGCCAAGCUUGAUCAAUGAGUCGGAUGCAUAUCACAGCAUCGAAAUGCUCCUUCCAAAAUUCAUGCAAGGUGAGGUUUGUGGUAUCGGUGAUGUCGAAACAUCUCUUGAAAAGAUGUUUUGUAUACAGCUUCUUGAAGUUCGAUAUCACUUGCUGGCCCAUGGGCUGGAGGAGAGGGGUGGUGUUAGGUAGAAGAUAAAGAACCGUGAUAAACUAAUACUUCGCUAGGAUAUCUUCCUCGAGGCCAGGAGGGUGAGCAGGGGCAUUGUCUAACAGCAGACAUUUCAGAGGGAGGCGCUUCUCUUCCAAGAAUUUCUUCACUGUCGAUCCGAAACAUUCUCUUGAUCACUAAUCAUCUGAAAAGUUACAGAACUUCAACUGAUGUUGCUAUAGAACUUCAACUGAUGUUUCUGUCAAGUACAAAGGAAUCCUUCAGAGCAAUAGAGCACUGUCUACCUCCCAGCAAUAGAGCACUGUCUACCUCUGAACCCCUUGAAAUGUAGCUUAAUACUGCAACAUGACUCAGCAAUUCUCUUUAGCAGCAAUCAUCUGAAAUUUGUCAUACAUUUCUACAAACAGCAUAUGGGAAUUCAAUAGAGCGGAACAUAUCGCUCAUCUUUCAGAUUUUCCUUCCAAUCCUUCAGAGAUUACUUGGAGAUUCAUUAUCCUCAUCAUCAGUGACCUUCAAGCAAUAUCACUUUUGAUUCAAGAGAGACUACGUCUUCCGAAAUGUGUCUCGUGCCUAAGUCUAUGGCUUGGUGUUCACUAUCUUCAAAUGCAUUUGAAGUGACAUGGCUUAUAGGCAGUCUAAUCACACCAUUCUCGUAAAGAGAUUUCCAUAAUAUCAAAGGGUUACUGUUAUAUUAAAGUAUACAUGAACGAGACCUCUGUGAGUCACGCUACAAGACUAAUUAGAACUUCUUAGGGCUGUAUUCUUAAAUAAGAAUUAUAAAUGGAACAAGGUAAAAUUAAAGAAGUUAGACUUGAAAAUAAGAUACUAAAGGUAACUGAUGAAUAGUACGAGAGAGAGAGAAAGCAGUAAGUCUGGGGGUCAAAGUGAUACAAAAGAGAAUCAUUUGGUGGUAGCUGCAUUGUGCUGGGGCCCAGCUUAAAUGGUUAUUUAAAAAUAAUUUUCAUGACUAUUUUAAUUCCCUCAGUCACAUUUUUACUAAAGUUUUCCUCUUAUGAAUUUAGAUCUCCAAAGAGUUUACUCCCUUGUCUUAUAUUUUGUAGAAUUUUAGCCAGAAUUCCAUUGUUGUUCAGACCAUGGCUUGCACUUUGUUCCCAUUGCCUCAGUCUUAAACUUAGUUUUGCUUGCUUUCAUUAUUUUCAACUUUCCAGUCUUCCAUCUUUCAAACAAUGUAGUAAGAUAAGCUGAUUCAGCUGGUAAGACAAUGGGACUUGAUAACCUUUGCUUGCAUGUAUCAACCUACUGGACAGAGCUGUUCCUUUUGAAUCUACAGUGGACUAUGGUGCCAAUGACUUCUGACUACACAUAAAUUAGUCCAAGUUAAGGCAUGGGAUUAGGACCUAUAGGAUAAGUAAUAGUUUCUAAAAAAAUUUUUGGAUCGGAUUAUUGGGAAGAUAGACCCCUAAUGUCUUGAGCCAUGUAGUUCCUUCAUUCACGCGGGUAUAAGAUUCACCUCUCGCUUGAAUACAUCCUUUAGAUGAAGCUUAUGAAAGAAAAGAUGUAACUAUUUAAUAGUAAAAGUCUCUCUCUCUCUCUCUCUCUCUCUCUCUCUCUCUCUCUCUCUCUCUCUCUCUCUCUCUCUCUCAGCCAAAUAAUGUUCAAGUCGCACAGAAAUGAGCAAACCAUGGUGAUUUAUUUCAUGUUGGAUGCUCUUUAUGGAUAAUAGAUAACUCGAGAUAUAUAACAUGUAAGAGUAUGUCAUAAAGUUGAUUAUAUUUCAUAAUACUUUAGGUUCCAUGGUUGUAUAAUGUUUUUCUGCAGUAAUUGCAAAAGUUAGUUUUUUUAUGUUUCAGUGUAGUUCCGUCAUUUGGCCUUUAUCAUUUUCACCUCUUGCUUGAAUACAUCCUUCAGAUGAACCCUACGAUAGGAAAAUUGUAACUAGUCUUGUUUACAUGUUUUCUCUCUCUCUCUCUCUCUGUAGUUCCUGUAUUCACUCAGGUAUAACUUAAACCUCUCGCUAAAAUACUUCCUUCAGAUGAACCAUAUGAAAGGAUAAUUACGGUAUUUUAUCUCUCUCUCUCUCCGCUUGAAUAAGUCCUUCAGAUGAACCCUAUGAAAGGUUAAUAAUUCUCUCUCUCGCUCUCUCUCACACCGAAAUUGUUGAAGUCGUAUAGCAAACUAUGAUAAUGCAUUUCUUUCCACGAUGUAUUUAUGAAAGAUCAUAACUCCUAUGUUUAGCGUUUAAAAUUAAGUUGAAUGCUCUUUAUAAAUAGAUAAACUUGAGAUAUAUAAC